GUUUCUUUGGUCGAGUGGUUAAUGCGUGUGCCUGCUACGUGCAUGGGGUUUCCACGCGAGAGUUCAAAUCUCUCAGGCAACG
Molecule: transfer RNA, 82 nt
Organism: Ipomoea nil (Japanese morning glory)
Lineage: Eukaryota; Viridiplantae; Streptophyta; Magnoliopsida; Solanales; Convolvulaceae
Rfam family: tRNA
About the family: Transfer RNA (tRNA) molecules are approximately 80 nucleotides in length. Their secondary structure includes four short double-helical elements and three loops (D, anti-codon, and T loops).
Source: Rfam